CUGCAAGACAUCCACACUCACGAAGACCCCCUCUUUCCAAAGUGUGAACAUCCAGAAAAAAGCAGCACAGACCCGAGCAAGUGGUUGCAGCCAGCUUCUAAACCACUUUACAAAUUGGAUAAAACAUUAAUGAACAAAAGGGUCCUGAAGGAUGUCGAGAAGUUGAGUCCCCAUCAUCAGACUUCUUCCUUGGAGGCAUUUCACAGUGUAAUCUUACGUUUUGCCCCAAAGAACGUUGUCUUUCCUUACCUUGGAAUGCUGUGCAGGUUAUACUUGGCGGCCAUGCACUUCAAUGAGAAUGCUCACCGCACACAAGCAGUCUCAG
Paramisgurnus dabryanus is the source of this 325-nucleotide non-coding RNA. The record is from RefSeq and is a predicted model, not a curated record. Lineage: Eukaryota; Metazoa; Chordata; Actinopteri; Cypriniformes; Cobitidae.